Molecule: ribosomal RNA, 216 nt
Filed under: Protolira valvatoides
Lineage: Eukaryota; Metazoa; Mollusca; Gastropoda; Trochida; Skeneidae
Description: partial small subunit ribosomal RNA
Rfam family: Eukaryotic small subunit ribosomal RNA
Source: RNAcentral
CGCUUCGGCGGCAAACUUCUUAGAGGGACAGGUGGCGUUUAGCCACACGAAGUAGAGCAAUAACAGGUCUGUGAUGCCCUUAGAUGUCCGGGGCCGCACGCGCGCUACACUGAAAGAAUCAACGUGGAUGCCCACCUGCUCCGAGAGGAGUGGGAAACCCGAUGAAUCUCUUUCGUGAUGGGGAUUGGGGCUUGUAAUUGUUCCCCAUGAACGAGG